This 252-nucleotide ribosomal RNA is filed under the name uncultured bacterium. RNAcentral describes it as "partial 16S ribosomal RNA". It matches the Rfam family "Bacterial small subunit ribosomal RNA", at positions 524 to 776 of the family's 1533-position model. The record is from RNAcentral.
UACAGAGGGUGCGAGCGUUAAUCGGAAUUACUGGGCGUAAAGCGUGCGUAGACGGUUAUUUAAGUCGGGUGUGAAAGCCCCGGGCUCAACCUGGGAAUUGCAUUCGAGACUGAAUAGCUAGGGUACGGUAGAGGGAAGUGGAAUUUCCGGUGUAGCGGUGAAAUGCGUAGAUAUCGGAAGGAACAUCAGUGGCGAAAGCGACUCCUGGACCAGUACCGACGUUCAGGCACGAAAGCGUGGGGAGCAAACAGG